RNAcentral lists this ribosomal RNA (899 nucleotides) under Hypoxylon fragiforme. RNAcentral describes it as "LSU rRNA". It matches the Rfam family "Eukaryotic large subunit ribosomal RNA", at positions 38 to 964 of the family's 3401-position model. Lineage: Eukaryota; Fungi; Ascomycota; Sordariomycetes; Xylariales; Hypoxylaceae. The record is from RNAcentral.
GCAUAUCAAUAAGCGGAGGAAAAGAAACCAACAGGGAUUGCCCUAGUAACGGCGAGUGAAGCGGCAACAGCUCAAAUUUGAAAUCUGGCCCUCGUGGUCCGAGUUGUAAUUUGUAGAGGAUGCUUUUGGUGCGGUGCCUUCCGAGUUCCCUGGAACGGGACGCCAGAGAGGGUGAGAGCCCCGUACGGUUGGACACCUACCCUAUAUAUAGCUCCUUCGACGAGUCGAGUAGUUUGGGAAUGCUGCUCUAAAUGGGAGGUAAAUUUCUUCUAAAGCUAAAUACCGGCCAGAGACCGAUAGCGCACAAGUAGAGUGAUCGAAAGAUGAAAAGCACUUUGAAAAGAGGGUUAAAUAGCACGUGAAAUUGUUGAAAGGGAAGCGUUUGCGACCAGACUUUUUCCAGGGGGAUCAUCCGGUGUUCUCACCGGUGCACUCCGCCUGGUUUAGGCCAGCAUCGGUUCUCUUAGGGGGAUAAAGGCUUGGGGAACGUAGCUCCUUCGGGAGUGUUAUAGCCCCUUGCGUAAUACCCUUCGGGGGACCGAGGAUCGCGCUCUGCAAGGAUGCUGGCGUAAUGGUCGUCAACGACCCGUCUUGAAACACGGACCAAGGAGUCGAACAUUUGUGCGAGUGUUUGGGUGUUAAACCCUCACGCGUAAUGAAAGUGAACGGAGGUGAGAGCCCUUACGGGUGCAUCAUCGACCGAUCCUGAUGUCUUCGGAUGGAUUUGAGUAAGAGCAUAACUGUUCGGACCCGAAAGAUGGUGAACUAUGCGUGGAUAGGGUGAAGCCAGAGGAAACUCUGGUGGAGGCUCGCAGCGGUUCUGACGUGCAAAUCGAUCGUCAAAUCUGCGCAUGGGGGCGAAAGACUUAUCGAACCAUCUAGUAGCUGGUUACCGCCGA